RNAcentral lists this ribosomal RNA (885 nucleotides) under Triticum aestivum (bread wheat). RNAcentral's name for it is "partial small subunit ribosomal RNA". The record is from RNAcentral. Lineage: Eukaryota; Viridiplantae; Streptophyta; Magnoliopsida; Poales; Poaceae.
AUGCUGGAGAAGGCCACGCUGCGCAAGAAUUCCAAGCUUGAGGGGCUCAAGCAGAAAGCUUCAUCCUCGGGGCUCCUGCCGGCGGUCGAGCUCAUGGAGCUGGCUGCAGAGGAAUCGUCCCCUCUGCCUUGCAAGGACGUCUUGCAGCUAGCGGACGCUUGUGGUGUCUCUGAGUUCGAUCUGAACAAGAGCGUGGCGUCUUGGAACGUUCGGGGUCUUGGGCGGCCAAACAAAUGCGUAGAUGUUAAGAAAGCUUUACAGUCUGCCCAACGCUCGGUCCUUUGUCUUCAGGAAACUAAACUGCUGGAUAUUCCUCUCUUCAAGGCUAUCUCUUUUCUGCCGGCUAGCCUGCGAAACUUCCAAUUUCUCCCUUCAGUGGGGGCCUCAGGGGGGCUUCUAACCGCUUGGGACGAAUCUAAUCUCGAAUGCACUAACGUUCAUUUGCAUCGCUUCUUCAUUACUUGUUGGUUCACCUUCCGGGCAUCCGACGUCUACUUCACUGUUACCAAUGUUUAUGGCCCUUGUGAUCACUCCCUUAAACUUGAGUUCUUAGAUUCUCUAACCCUUACUUCUUUGUCGAUCACUUGCCCCUGGUUGGUCUUCGGGUAUUUCAACCUUAUUCUACGGCCAAGGGACAAGUCUUCCGACCACUUUAACACCAACGAAGCUAGGUUAUUCGCUUCUGCCAUUAACUCAUUGCAGCUCCAAGAAAUUCCACUGCUGGACCGUCUUUACACGUGGUCAAAUCAACAAGAUAAUCCUACUCUUGUCAGGCUGGACAGGGCUUUCGUUAGUAUGGUCUGGUCAACUAUGUUCCCAGACUCCACACUUUCCUCUAUGACUAGGACUACCUCAGAUCAUGUUUCGAUUCUAUUACAGGCCUCC